CAAAGUAGACCACCGUUAGAUGGACCUUGCCGUCCAGGUGGACGCACACUUCCCUGGACAAAACAUCACGAGGAUGUUGACAGAAACGCUGAGCUCCAUGACGUCAUGACGCUGUUUUUUUUCCAGGUUGUAUACCUGAAGUUACGGAUGAACUGUCGGAAUGCGUCGGCCCUCUUGGAGAGCGGUACGAUGAAGUUGAUGAGCGUGUUCCGCGUGUCCACUCGCUCGCUCUUCACCUUCACCACAGGGCCGAAAGGCCUGAAGAGCACCAGGGAGUAUCCACAGCGUUGUUGACACUGCCUUCCCCCCUUCCUCCUCUCUCGAUAAGGUCUCUCCUCAGGGUGUCUGCUCAGGCCUGUCUCCAGCUGAAACACCCUGCGUGAAAACACACGUCACACAGUCAGUCUUCCAGCCACCUGCUCAGUGGCCUAGUGGUUAGAGUGUCCGCCCUGAGAUUGGUAGGUUGUGAGUUCAAACCCCGGCCCAGUCAUACCAAAGACUACAUAAAAUAGGACCCAUUACCUCCCUGCUUGGCACUCAGCAUCAAGGGUUGGAAUUGGGGGUUAAAUCACCAAAAUGAUUCCCAGGCGCAGCCACUGCUGCUGCUCACUGCUCCCCUCACCUCCCAGGGGUGAACAAGGGGAUGGGUCAAAUGCAGAGGACACAUUUCACCACACCUAGUGUGUGUGUGUGACAAUCAUUGGUACUUUAACUUUAACCAUUGAAUGUGGUAGUGUGUUUUUUUAAGUCACUUCAUGAAUUUAGUUGGAUUAGAUUGUUGACUCUCAUUUUACAACAGAUAUUCCCUCAGAUAUGUUAAGAGUUUGAAAUGCAGUAAUGCCCCCUAAAUGCUCAUCACUAUCAUCUAUAAUUUCCUAGCAUGUACAUCUCGUGGCCGCAGGCCCAUAUUUUGUGGCCCUCUUCUUUACUUAACAGCUUAUUGUAAUAAAGUGCUAAUAGUCUCUCUUGGA
This is a long non-coding RNA of Entelurus aequoreus (snake pipefish), 971 nucleotides long. RefSeq lists it as uncharacterized. NCBI's taxonomy places the organism in Eukaryota, Metazoa, Chordata, Actinopteri, Syngnathiformes, Syngnathidae. The record is from RefSeq and is a predicted model, not a curated record. The transcript has 3 exons.